GUCUAAUAAAUACUUGUUUGUAGGGUAUCCAAAAAAAUUAAAGGAUACUACUUCUACCUCGCUGAAGAACAAAAAGUGUUUGUCAGCAACAGGAUAGUCUUUUUGAAAAAAGAGUUCCUUGAUGAAGAAACUAAUAUCAGCAAAAUUAAAUUUGAUGAAGUUCAUGAGAUAGAAAAACCAAUACACAUAAUCGGAUUUGAUUGAAGAAUCGAAUCUGGAGCCUUUAAAGGCACCAUUAAG
This 240-nucleotide long non-coding RNA is filed under the name Elaeis guineensis (African oil palm). Its description in RNAcentral is "long non-coding RNA (EGUI_LNC049212)". The record is from RNAcentral. Lineage: Eukaryota; Viridiplantae; Streptophyta; Magnoliopsida; Arecales; Arecaceae.